GAGGCGAACCGGGGGAACUGAAACAUCUAAGUACCCCGAGGAAAAGAAAUCAACCGAGAUUCCCCCAGUAGCGGCGAGCGAACGGGGAGGAGCCCAGAACCAUCAUCAGCUUGUGCAUCAGUGGAAGCGUCUGGAAAGUCGCAGGGUACAGGGUGAUACUCCCGUACACAAAGGUGCACAGGCUGUGAGUUCGAUGAGUAAGGCGGGACACGUGGUAUCCUGUCUGAAUAUGGGGGGACCAUCCUCCAAGGCUAAAUACUCCUGACUGACCGAUAGUGAACCAGUACCGUGAGGGAAAGGCGAAAAGAACCCCGGCGAGGGGAGUGAAACAGAACCUGAAACCGUGUACGUACAAGCAGUGGGAGCCUCUUUAUGGGGUGACUGCGUACCUUUUGUAUAAUGGGUCAGCGACUUAUAUUCUGUAGCAAGGUUAACCGUAUAGGGGAGCCGCAGGGAAACCGAGUCUUAACUGGGCGUUAAGUUGCAGGGUAUAGACCCGAAACCCGGUGAUCUAGCCAUGGGCAGGUUGAAGGUUGGGUAACACUAACUGGAGGACCGAACCGACUAAUGUUGAAAAAUUAGCGGAUGACCUGUGGCUGGGGGUGAAAGGCCAAUCAAACCGGGAGAUAGCUGGUUCUCCCCGAAAGCUAUUUAGGUAGCGCCUCGUGAACUCAUCUCCGGGGGUAGAGCACUGUUUCGGCUAGGGGGCCAUCCCGGCUUACCAACCCGAUGCAAACUGCGAAUACCGGAGAAUGUUAUCACGGGAGACACACGGCGGGUGCUAACGUCCGUCGUGAAGAGGGAAACAACCCAGACCGCCAGCUAAGGUCCCAAAGUCAUGGUUAAGUGGGAAACGAUGUGGGAAGGCCCAGACAGCCAGGAUGUUGGCUUAGAAGCAGCCAUCAUUUAAAGAAAGCGUAAUAGCUCACUGGUCGAGUCGGCCUGCGCGGAAGAUGUAACGGGGCUAAACCAUGCACCGAAGC
Molecule: ribosomal RNA, 983 nt
Filed under: Pantoea ananatis
Lineage: Bacteria; Pseudomonadati; Pseudomonadota; Gammaproteobacteria; Enterobacterales; Erwiniaceae
Description: bacterial LSU rRNA
Rfam family: Bacterial large subunit ribosomal RNA
Source: RNAcentral